RNAcentral lists this ribosomal RNA (850 nucleotides) under Actinobacteridae bacterium Control.7. Its description in RNAcentral is "bacterial SSU rRNA". It matches the Rfam family "Bacterial small subunit ribosomal RNA", at positions 43 to 904 of the family's 1533-position model. The record is from RNAcentral. Lineage: Bacteria; Bacillati; Actinomycetota; Actinomycetes.
CAUGCGCGGCUACCAUGCAGUCGAACGGUGAAAGAGAGCUUGCUCUCUGGAUCAUGGCGAACGGGUGAGUAACACGUGAGCAAUCUGCCCCUGACUCUGGGAUAAGCGCUGGAAACGGCGUCUAAUACCGGAUACGAGCUGCGAAGGCAUCUUCAGCAGCUGGAAAGAACUUCGGUCAGGGAUGAGCUCGCGGCCUAUCACCUAGUUGGUGAGGUAAUGGCUCACCAAGGCGUCGACGGGUAGCCGGCCUGAGAGGGUGACCGGCCACACUGGGACUGAGACGCGGCCCAUACUCCUACGGGAGGCAGCAGUGGGGAAUAUUGCACAAUGGGCGCAAGCCUGAUGCAGCAACGCCGCGUGAGGGACGACGGCCUUCGGGUUGUAAACCUCUUUUAGCAGGGAAGAAGCGAAAGUGACGGUACCUGCAGAAAAAGCACCGGCUAACUACGUGCCAGCAGCCGCGGUAAUACGUAGGGUGCAAGCGUUAUCCGGAAUUAUUGGGCGUAAAGAGCUCGUAGGCGGUUUGUCGCGUCUGCUGUGAAAACUGGGGGCUCAACCCCCAGCCUGCAGUGGGUACGGGCAGACUAGAGUGCGGUAGGGGAGAUUGGAAUUCCUGGUGUAGCGGUGGAAUGCGCAGAUAUCAGGAGGAACACCGAUGGCGAAGGCAGAUCUCUGGGCCGUAACUGACGCUGAGGAGCGAAAGGGUGGGGAGCAAACAGGCUUAGAUACCCUGGUAGUCCACCCCGUAAACGUUGGGAACUAGUUGUGGGGUCCAUUCCACGGAUUCCGUGACGCAGCUAACGCAUUAAGUUCCCCGCCUGGGGAGUACGGCCGCAAGGCUAAAACUCAA